UCCACGCCGUAAACGAUGAAUACUAGGUGCAGCGGGUAUCGACCCCUGCUGUGCCGUAGCUAACGCGUUAAGUAUUCCGCCUGGGGAGUACGGCCGCAAGGCUAAAACUCAAAGAAAUUGACGGGGGCCCGCACAAGCGGUGGAGCAUGUGGUUUAAUUCGAUGCAACGCGCAGAACCUUACCUGGGCUUGAAAUCCUUUGACAAUCCUAGAGAUAGGACUUUCCCUUCGGGG
Molecule: ribosomal RNA, 233 nt
Filed under: uncultured bacterium
Lineage: Bacteria
Description: partial 16S ribosomal RNA
Rfam family: Bacterial small subunit ribosomal RNA
Source: RNAcentral